RNAcentral lists this unclassified non-coding RNA (248 nucleotides) under uncultured fungus. Its description in RNAcentral is "partial contains 5.8S ribosomal RNA, internal transcribed spacer 2, and large subunit ribosomal RNA". Lineage: Eukaryota; Fungi. The record is from RNAcentral.
AACGCACAUUGCGCCCUCCUUCGUCUGGGGGGCAUGCCUGUCCGAGCGUCAUUUCUGCCCUCAAGCACGGCUUGUGUGUUGGGUGUGGUCCCCCCGGGGACCUGCCCGAAAGGCAGCGGCGACGUCCGUCUGGUCCUCGAGCGUAUGGGGCUCUGUCACUCGCUCGGGAAGGACCUGCGGGGGUUGGUCACCACCAUGUUUUACCACGGUUGACCUCGGAUCAGGUAGGAGUUACCCGCUGAACUUAA